RNAcentral lists this ribosomal RNA (3376 nucleotides) under Drosophila melanogaster (fruit fly). RNAcentral describes it as "eukaryotic LSU rRNA". The stretch from base 574 to 3376 matches the Rfam family "Eukaryotic large subunit ribosomal RNA", at positions 1 to 2438 of the family's 3401-position model. Lineage: Eukaryota; Metazoa; Arthropoda; Insecta; Diptera; Drosophilidae. The record is from RNAcentral.
ACUCUAAGCGGUGGAUCACUCGGCUCAUGGGUCGAUGAAGAACGCAGCAAACUGUGCGUCAUCGUGUGAACUGCAGGACACAUGAACAUCGACAUUUUGAACGCAUAUCGCAGUCCAUUGCUGUUAUGUACUUUAAUUAAUUUUAUAGUGCUGCUUGGACUACAUAUGGUUGAGGGUUGUAAGACUAUGCUAAUUAAGUUGCUUAUAAAUUUUUAUAAGCAUAUGGUAUAUUAUUGGAUAAAUAUAAUAAUUUUUAUUCAUAAUAUUAAAAAAUAAAUGAAAAACAUUAUCUCACAUUUGAAUGUGAAAAACGAAGAGAAAUAUUUUCUUUUUCAAUCAAAUAAUACUGAGAAAUGUCUAGCAUAAAAAAUUGAAAUAUUUUUCAUCUAGAAUUGUCUCUUAUUAAUGAUUCGGAAAUAGAAAAAUCUUGGUUAUGUUAUUAUUCUUCGUUGGUUCGUUAAAAAUGGAUAAAUAAAAACUUUGCAUACAAGAAUUAAUAAAAAUGUUAUAACGAAUUUAAUUAAAUGUUUUAUCAUUAUAUAUAAAGAAUUUAUGGCAAGAUAAAGUUAUAUACAACCUCAACUCAUAUGGGACUACCCCCUGAAUUUAAGCAUAUUAAUUAGGGGAGGAAAAGAAACUAACAAGGAUUUUCUUAGUAGCGGCGAGCGAAAAGAAAACAGUUCAGCACUAAGUCACUUUGUCUAUAUGGCAAAUGUGAGAUGCAGUGUAUGGAGCGUCAAUAUUCUAGUAUGAGAAAUUAACGAUUUAAGUCCUUCUUAAAUGAGGCCAUUUACCCAUAGAGGGUGCCAGGCCCGUAUAACGUUAAUGAUUACUAGAUGAUGUUUCCAAAGAGUCGUGUUGCUUGAUAGUGCAGCACUAAGUGGGUGGUAAACUCCAUCUAAAACUAAAUAUAACCAUGAGACCGAUAGUAAACAAGUACCGUGAGGGAAAGUUGAAAAGAACUCUGAAUAGAGAGUUAAACAGUACGUGAAACUGCUUAGAGGUUAAGCCCGAUGAACCUGAAUAUCCGUUAUGGAAAAUUCAUCAUUAAAAUUGUAAUAUUUAAAUAAUAUUAUGAGAAUAGUGUGCAUUUUUUCCAUAUAAGGACAUUGUAAUCUAUUAGCAUAUACCAAAUUUAUCAUAAAAUAUAACUUAUAGUUUAUUCCAAUUAAAUUGCUUGCAUUUUAACACAGAAUAAAUGUUAUUAAUUUGAUAAAGUGCUGAUAGAUUUAUAUGAUUACAGUGCGUUAAUUUUUCGGAAUUAUAUAAUGGCAUAAUUAUCAUUGAUUUUUGUGUUUAUUAUAUGCACUUGUAUGAUUAACAAUGCGAAAGAUUCAGGAUACCUUCGGGACCCGUCUUGAAACACGGACCAAGGAGUCUAACAUAUGUGCAAGUUAUUGGGAUAUAAACCUAAUAGCGUAAUUAACUUGACUAAUAAUGGGAUUAGUUUUUUAGCUAUUUAUAGCUAAUUAACACAAUCCCGGGGCGUUCUAUAUAGUUAUGUAUAAUGUAUAUUUAUAUUAUUUAUGCCUCUAACUGGAACGUACCUUGAGCAUAUAUGCUGUGACCCGAAAGAUGGUGAACUAUACUUGAUCAGGUUGAAGUCAGGGGAAACCCUGAUGGAAGACCGAAACAGUUCUGACGUGCAAAUCGAUUGUCAGAAUUGAGUAUAGGGGCGAAAGACCAAUCGAACCAUCUAGUAGCUGGUUCCUUCCGAAGUUUCCCUCAGGAUAGCUGGUGCAUUUUAAUAUUAUAUAAAAUAAUCUUAUCUGGUAAAGCGAAUGAUUAGAGGCCUUAGGGUCGAAACGAUCUUAACCUAUUCUCAAACUUUAAAUGGGUAAGAACCUUAACUUUCUUGAUAUGAAGUUCAAGGUUAUGAUAUAAUGUGCCCAGUGGGCCACUUUUGGUAAGCAGAACUGGCGCUGUGGGAUGAACCAAACGUAAUGUUACGGUGCCCAAAUUAACAACUCAUGCAGAUACCAUGAAAGGCGUUGGUUGCUUAAAACAGCAGGACGGUGAUCAUGGAAGUCGAAAUCCGCUAAGGAGUGUGUAACAACUCACCUGCCGAAGCAACUAGCCCUUAAAAUGGAUGGCGCUUAAGUUGUAUACCUAUACAUUACCGCUAAAGUAGAUGAUUUAUAUUACUUGUGAUAUAAAUUUUGAAACUUUAGUGAGUAGGAAGGUACAAUGGUAUGCGUAGAAGUGUUUGGCGUAAGCCUGCAUGGAGCUGCCAUUGGUACAGAUCUUGGUGGUAGUAGCAAAUAAUCGAAUGAGACCUUGGAGGACUGAAGUGGAGAAGGGUUUCGUGUGAACAGUGGUUGAUCACGAGUUAGUCGGUCCUAAGUUCAAGGCGAAAGCCGAAAAUUUUCAAGUAAAACAAAAAUGCCUAACUAUAUAAACAAAGCGAAUUAUAAUACACUUGAAUAAUUUUGAACGAAAGGGAAUACGGUUCCAAUUCCGUAACCUGUUGAGUAUCCGUUUGUUAUUAAAUAUGGGCCUCGUGCUCAUCCUGGCAACAGGAACGACCAUAAAGAAGCCGUCGAGAGAUAUCGGAAGAGUUUUCUUUUCUGUUUUAUAGCCGUACUACCAUGGAAGUCUUUCGCAGAGAGAUAUGGUAGAUGGGCUAGAAGAGCAUGACAUAUACUGUUGUGUCGAUAUUUUCUCCUCGGACCUUGAAAAUUUAUGGUGGGGACACGCAAACUUCUCAACAGGCCGUACCAAUAUCCGCAGCUGGUCUCCAAGGUGAAGAGUCUCUAGUCGAUAGAAUAAUGUAGGUAAGGGAAGUCGGCAAAUUAGAUCCGUAACUUCGGGAUAAGGAUUGGCUCUGAAGAUUGAGAUAGUCGGGCUUGAUUGGGAAACAAUAACAUGGUUUAUGUGCUCGUUCUGGGUAAAUAGAGUUUCUAGCAUUUAUGUUAGUUACUUGUUCCCCGGAUAGUUUAGUUACGUAGCCAAUUGUGGAACUUUCUUGCUAAAAUUUUUAAGAAUACUAUUUGGGUUAAACCAAUUAGUUCUUAUUAAUUAUAACGAUUAUCAAUUAACAAUCAAUUCAGAACUGGCACGGACUUGGGGAAUCCGACUGUCUAAUUAAAACAAAGCAUUGUGAUGGCCCUAGCGGGUGUUGACACAAUGUGAUUUCUGCCCAGUGCUCUGAAUGUCAAAGUGAAGAAAUUCAAGUAAGCGCGGGUCAACGGCGGGAGUAACUAUGACUCUCUUAAGGUAGCCAAAUGCCUCGUCAUCUAAUUAGUGACGCGCAUGAAUGGAUUAACGAGAUUCCUACUGUCCCUAUCUACUAUCUAGCGAAACCACAGCCAAGGGAACGGGCUUGGAAUAAUUAGCGGGGAAAGAAGACCCUUUUGAGCUUGACUCUAAUCUGGCA